Molecule: ribosomal RNA, 867 nt
Filed under: uncultured Lactobacillus sp.
Lineage: Bacteria; Bacillati; Bacillota; Bacilli; Lactobacillales; Lactobacillaceae
Description: bacterial SSU rRNA
Rfam family: Bacterial small subunit ribosomal RNA (bases 1-767)
Source: RNAcentral
AUUGAACGCUGGCGGCAUGCUUUACACAUGCAAGUCGGACGGCAGCGGGGGUGCUUGCACCUGCCGGCGAGUGGCGAACGGGUGAGUAACAUAUUGGAAUGUACCGAGUAGUGGGGGAUAACCAAUCGAAAGAUUGGCUAAUACCGCAUACGUCCUGAGGGGGAAAGCAGGGGAUCUUCGGACCUUGCGCUAUUUGAGCAGCCAAUAUCUGAUUAGCUAGUUGGUGGGGUAAAGGCCCACCAAGGCGACGAUCAGUAGCGGGUCUGAGAGGAUGAUCCGCCACACUGGGACUGAGACACGGCCCAGACUCCUACGGGAGGCAGCAGUGGGGAAUUUUGGACAAUGGGGGCAACCCUGAUCCAGCCAUGCCGCGUGUCUGAAGAAGGCCUUCGGGUUGUAAAGGACUUUUGUUAGGGAAGAAAAGGGAAGUGCUAAUACCACUUUUUGCUGACGGUACCUAAAGAAUAAGCACCGGCUAACUACGUGCCAGCCGCCGCGGUAAUACGUAGGGUGCGAGCGUUAAUCGUAAUUACUGGUGCGUAAAGCGAGCGCAGACGGUUACUUAAGCAGGAUGUGAAAUCCCCGGGCUCACCCUGGGAAACUGCGUUCUGAACUGGGUAGUAGAGUAUGUCAGAGGGGGGGUAGAAUUCCACUGUAUUAGUUAAAUGCGUAGUGAUGUGGAGGAUUACGCUUGGCGAAAGCAGCCUCCUGUGUUAUCCUGCGCAUUUAUUCCCCACACGUAGGCCGCCAACAAGAUCAUGUCCACUACUUUCGAAGGACGAUUCUCCCAGUGGACUCCACCUGUCUCGCUGCCCUCUACUACGUUGUGCGUGCGUCUAUAAUUAUUUUUUUGUCUUUUAGGCAGAU